UUCUCCAGGCGACUCUCGUAAAACUCUCUGCUUCCUCUUUCGUUAAUCUCUAUCUUGGCCAGACCAUCAGCGCACCCAUUACUUUCUCUAAAUAUAUGCUUUAUCUCCUUUACCUUUAUUUCUUUUAUCAGACUUUUGCACUCAUUUAUCAUCAAACUGAUUUGGGGGUCCUCGUGUUCUUCUGCUUUCCCUCGAAUCUAUUUCGAUAAUCAGGUUCUUCAGAUUCAGAGUUAUUGCUUUGGCCACCUGCUCCAGCGUAUCCUGUUGACCUGUUACAAGCGCCGUCCGUGUUUAGGGUAUAGCAUCCUACUGGGGGUUUCCUCCAACAUAUCCACCUGGGUUCUCUGAUAUUUUGAUCGUCGAAAUCCCAUCUCAAUUGGCUCUUCUCAGCAUCUGAAUCAGUUUCUCAUCUUCUAAUCUUUUUUGAGUUUAUAAAAUUUCCAGAAAAAAAAAUAGGUUGAUCCACCAUUGUGUCAAGCCAAGAUCUUGGACGCGGAUCUUCCUCAUGAUUAUCAGUGGCUCAGUUCGACCCCGCUUGUUACUGUUGGAUUCUCCCAGAGUUUUCCUCUGCCAUCGUCACCCCGGUGACGGCGGAGAUUCCUCCAUUUGGUAGCCAAGAUUGGAAGCACGAAGAAAAUUCAAGAAAAACCAUAUUCAAAUACUGAAAUUCAUAUCCAUAGGACCAUAUCUAAUAUAAUCCUUAAAUUUAAAUAACAUAAAUUAACAAACCUAGUUAACCAAAAGUCAAAAGUUAAAGUUUUAAUGAUGGCGAAUAGUAAAAAAAUGUCUCUAA
This is a long non-coding RNA of Hibiscus syriacus, 793 nucleotides long. RefSeq lists it as uncharacterized. The record is from RefSeq and is a predicted model, not a curated record. NCBI's taxonomy places the organism in Eukaryota, Viridiplantae, Streptophyta, Magnoliopsida, Malvales, Malvaceae. The transcript is spliced from 3 exons.